GAUGAACGCUGGCGGCGUGCUUAACACAUGCAAGUCGAACGAGGCACUUUAUUUGAUUUCCUUCGGGACUGAUUAUUUUGUGACUGAGUGGCGGACGGGUGAGUAACGCGUGGGUAACCUGCCUUGUACAGGGGGAUAACAGUUGGAAACGGCUGCUAAUACCGCAUAAGCGCACAGCAUCGCAUGAUGCAGUGUGAAAAUCUCCGGUGGUAUAAGAUGGACCCGCGUUGGAUUAGCUAGUUGGUGAGGUAACGGCCCACCAAGGCGACGAUCCAUAGCCGACCUGAGAGGGUGACCGGCCACAUUGGGACUGAGACACGGCCCAAACUCCUACGGGAGGCAGCAGUGGGGAAUAUUGCACAAUGGGCGAAAGCCUGAUGCAGCGACGCCGCGUGAGCGAAGAAGUAUUUCGGUAUGUAAAGCUCUAUCAGCAGGGAAGAUAAUGACGGUACCUGACUAAGAAGCACCGGCUAAAUACGUG
This 481-nucleotide ribosomal RNA is filed under the name uncultured bacterium. RNAcentral's name for it is "partial 16S ribosomal RNA". It matches the Rfam family "Bacterial small subunit ribosomal RNA", at positions 28 to 507 of the family's 1533-position model. The record is from RNAcentral.